RNAcentral lists this ribosomal RNA (593 nucleotides) under uncultured bacterium. Its description in RNAcentral is "bacterial SSU rRNA". It matches the Rfam family "Bacterial small subunit ribosomal RNA", at positions 82 to 709 of the family's 1533-position model. The record is from RNAcentral.
GUAGCAAUACUUAGUGGCAGACGGGUGAGUAACAUGUGGGUAUCUACCCUUUGGCCUGGAAUAACACGAGGAAACUUGUGCUAAUACCGGAUAAGUCUUUACAGAGAAAGCUUUAUGCACCAUUGGAUGAGCCCGCACUUGAUUAGUUUGUUGGUAGGGUAAUGGCCUACCAAGACUAUGAUCAAUAGCUGAUUUGAGAGGAUGAUCAGCCACAUUGGGACUGAGACACGGCCCAAACUCCUACGGGAGGCAGCAGUGGGGAAUCUUGCACAAUGGAGGAAACUCUGAUGCAGCGAUGCCGCGUGAGUGAAGAAGGCCUUUGGGUUGUAAAGCUCUUUCGUCGGGGAAGAAAAUGACUGUACCCGAAUAAGAAGGUCCGGCUAACUUCGUGCCAGCAGCCGCGGUAAUACGAAGGGACCUAGCGUAGUUCGGAAUUACUGGGCUUAAAGAGUUCGUAGGUGGUUGAAAAAGUUGGUGGUGAAAUCCCAGAGCUUAACUCUGGAACUGCCAUCAAAACUUUUCAGCUAGAGUAUGAUAGAGGAAAGCAGAAUUUCUAGUGUAGAGGUGAAAUUCGUAGAUAUUAGAAAGAAUAC